UGAGGAAUAUUGGUCAAUGGACGAGAGUCUGAACCAGCCAAGUAGCGUGAAGGAUGACUGCCCUAUGGGUUGUAAACUUCUUUUAUACGGGAAUAAAGUGAGGCACGUGUGCCUUUUUGUAUGUACCGUAUGAAUAAGGAUCGGCUAACUCCGUGCCAGCAGCCGCGGUAAUACGGAGGAUCCGAGCGUUAUCCGGAUUUAUUGGGUUUAAAGGGAGCGUAGGCGGACGCUUAAGUCAGUUGUGAAAGUUUGCGGCUCAACCGUAAAAUUGCAGUUGAUACUGGGUGUCUUGAGUACAGUAGAGGCAGGCGGAAUUCGUGGUGUAGCGGUGAAAUGCUUAGAUAUCACGAAGAACUCCGAUUGCGAAGGCAGCUUGCUGGACUGUAACUGACGCUGAUGCUCGAAAGUGUGGGUAUCAAACAGGAUUAGAUACCCUGGUAGUCCACACAGUAAACGAUGAAUACUCGCUGUUUGCGAUAUACAGUAAGCGGCCAAGCGAAAGCGUUAAGUAUUCCACCUGGGGAGUACGCCGGCAACGGUGAAACUCAAAGGAAUUGACGGGGGCCCGCACAAGCGGAGGAACAUGUGGUUUAAUUCGAUGAUACGCGAGGAACCUUACCCGGGCUUGAAUUGCAACUGAAUGAUGUGGAGACAUGUCAGCCGCAAGGCAGUUGUGAAGGUGCUGCAUGGUUGUCGUCAGCUCGUGCCGUGAGGUGUCGGCUUAAGUGCCAUAACGAGCGCAACCCUUAUCGAUAGUUACCAUCAGGUUAUGCUGGGGACUCUGUCGAGACUGCCGUCGUAAGAUGUGAGGAAGGUGGGGAUGACGUCAAAUCAGCACGGCCCUUACGUCCGGGGCUACACACGUGUUACAAUGGGGGGUACAGAAGGCAGCUAUACGGCGACGUGAUGCUAAUCCCGAAAGCCUCUCUCAGUUCGGAUUGGAGUCUGCAACCCGACUCCAUGAAGCUGGAUUCGCUAGUAAUCGCGCAUCAGCCACGGCGCGGUGAAUACGUUCCC
This 1017-nucleotide ribosomal RNA is filed under the name uncultured organism. Its description in RNAcentral is "bacterial SSU rRNA". It matches the Rfam family "Bacterial small subunit ribosomal RNA", at positions 355 to 1375 of the family's 1533-position model. The record is from RNAcentral.